Molecule: long non-coding RNA, 450 nt
Filed under: Gossypium barbadense (sea-island cotton)
Lineage: Eukaryota; Viridiplantae; Streptophyta; Magnoliopsida; Malvales; Malvaceae
Description: long non-coding RNA (GBAR_LNC011202)
Source: RNAcentral
AAAAAUAAAUUUAAGAAUUAAAUUCCAAUUAAAUUCCAAUUAAAUCAACAAUAAUAAUAAAAUUAAAUUAAAUUUUAUAACAAAAAAAUUAUAUUUUUAACACUUUAAUUAUUCUUGUAAAAAACCAGAAAAGAAAAAGAAAUAAUAAUUACAACAAUUAAAGCAGGUUAAAUUACUCUUUCCUAAACCCUAAACUUUCCUUUCAUUUAAUUUUUUUUCCUUAUUUUUCUUUUUCCUUCCCUCUCUCUUCUUUCAUUUUUUCUUUCUUUCUUUCCUUUCCCGCCGCCCUUUUCUUCUUCUUCUUCUUCCAUGGCAGCAGCACCGGUGCCGCCUAUGGGGUACCCUCAACCGGUGCCGCCUAUGGGGUACCCUCAACCUAUAUAUAUAUUUUUUGACCUAUAGUUUUUUUUACCUGCAAAAUGUUAGAAAAUGGCAGAAAUUUGAGAGUGG